UCUGGCUUCAGUUCUCUGGAAUAUUUUUUUUUUUUCCCAGUUCUUCUUUAUUUUGCAAGUCAGCUUCGUUCUCAGGCUGGCUGCUUUCAGGAUUGCACUGGGGUCAGAGCCAAAGCCACACCUUGUCCCUCAUGCCCAGGGGCCGAGAGAGCACUUUUCUUUCCAGGAUUCUAGCCUGUGACUUGAGACCGGCCUGGGUUGUACCUCUCACCCCUCCUGCCCUGCUGACCGUGGACUGAGAGAUGCUCCCUCCUGUGCCGCCGGCCGCCUUGGAGGCAAUUUCCCCUGAAGGAGAAUGUGCUCUGAGGGAGACAGGGAGGGAGCGGUGCGGGGGAGGCGGCAGCUCAUUCUUGGUACAGACUCACUUUAGGGUAGGAACAGCCAAGGUCUGAGCGAUUUAUAGAGGCCAUUUGGUAAUGGAGCAGAGACCAGACUCGGACAUCUUUGUAUUCAGACCUCUUUCCAAACAUCCAAUUCUCUGUGCCCUUUGCUGAUGCUGUUUGCGACCUUCCUUUUGUCAGAGGCUGGGACAGCAGAGUUAGAUAUUAGGAGUGAGAGAAGGUCCUCCUCUUGUCUCGCUGAUACCAACAAUUCUACAUAAUGAUCUUCUUUUGGGUUACAGUAUUGUUCACUCAUUCAAAAACACAUGUUCAUUGAGCUGGGAACAUUGGCUGGCUCGGCCCAUCUGGAAACCUGUCCGUUAAUCAAGAGUCUUUUAGUUGCCUGUCAUAGAAAUUUCUUCAAGUUCGCUUCGGCAAAAGAGGGAGGGGGAUUUAUCCUAGGGAUACAGGAUUCUGCAUCCUGUUCCCUAUUCUCCUACAAAUUACAGCAUCAUCCUGUAUGACAGUGUGUUUAAUAACGGUACGCACCUUGCUUAUUUGAACAUAUUGAUUGACACGCGCGGUCUUGCAGGCUCUUUGGUAGAUCACGCGUGUCUUCCUGGGUGAAUGCUCUUUUACUGUCAUUAUAUUUGGGUUUAGGGAACUUCAAAUAAAAUCUAACCCCAUUUGCAUGCGCUUCCAGCUAGCUCAUUUAGGCUUAAUUAGAUGGAUGUAUUCAAGAACGGUGAAGGGACUGAAAAAUUCUCAGGGAAAAAAAAAAAAGACCCAGGAUGAAUUGGAAAGCUG
RNAcentral lists this long non-coding RNA (1127 nucleotides) under Marmota monax (woodchuck). The record is from RNAcentral. Lineage: Eukaryota; Metazoa; Chordata; Mammalia; Rodentia; Sciuridae.